GAUGAACGCUGGCGGCGUGCCUAAUACAUGCAAGUCGAGCGAACAGACGAUGAGCUUGCUCCUCUGACGUUAGCGGCUGACGGGUGAGUAACACGUGGAUAACCUACCUAUAAGACUGGGAUAACUUCGGGAAACCGGAUCUAAUACCGGAUAAUAUAUCGAACGGCAUGGUUCAAUAGUGAAAGACGGUUUUGCUGUCACUUAUAGAUGGAUCCGCGCCGCAUUAGCUAGUUGGUAAGGUAACGGCUUACCAAGGCAACGAAGCGUAGCCGACCUGAGAGGGUGAUCAGCCACACUGGAACUGAGACACGGUCCAGACUCCUACGGGAGGCAGCAGUGGGGAAUAUUCCGCAAUGGGCGCAAGCCUGACGGAGCAACGCCGCGUGGGUGAUGAAGGUCUUCGGAUCGUAAAACUCUGUUAUUAGGGAAGAACAAAUGUGUAAGUAACUAUGCACGUCUUGACGGUACCUAAUCAGAAAGCCACGGCUAACUACGUG
RNAcentral lists this ribosomal RNA (497 nucleotides) under uncultured bacterium. RNAcentral describes it as "partial 16S ribosomal RNA". It matches the Rfam family "Bacterial small subunit ribosomal RNA", at positions 28 to 507 of the family's 1533-position model. The record is from RNAcentral.